AAGACAGAUACAAACUUUCUAAGAUUUAUAUAUAUCUUUUCCAUACGGGAGAAAACAGACAUUUUUAACCCCUUUUUUCAUGUAUUUGUAGAUGUGAAUGUGCAUAACUUCAUUAUUUUUCCAAAAGAGCUCAAUUGUGAUUAUCUGCACUGUUGUUGGAGGCGAGUAUCAUAUUUGUAAAAUCAUGAGAACAAAGACAAUAAAAUUAUUGAGAUUUAUCGGAGCUGUCAUGUCAUGCUUCUUGUUUAAUUGAUUUCAUGCUUUUAUCAGUUACAGGACUGAGGGUAAGGGCUGCACAACUUAUCACAUGUAAUUCUUCUCUGACUACUGUAGUAUGGGUUUUAUGAUUCUGGUGGUGGCUUUGAAGACGCUGGGUGGUAACUCAGAGAAAGAAGGCGUCUACAAGAAAGUGGGUGACAAAGUCGUCUUCACACCAGGCUCUGCGCCUGCUUCCAUCACCAGGAUCAAGUGGACACAUGAUCAGGACAUUGCUCUGGAGUGGUCCAGACGAGAACCUUACACUUCCUGGCACUUCCGAGAUGGCUGUGAGGUGGAUACCUCCACUGGGGUCCUGAGGAUCUCAAACCUGGCUCUAAACGACAGCGGCAGCUACACGGUGGAGAUUAAUGAUGAAGUCAUGAGCACAACAGAAAUCAUUGUUAUCACCACUGUCCCUAAUCCCACUGUGUCCACAUGGUGCAACCCUGAGAUGACCUACUGUAUUCUCACUUGUGAACCCAACGUCACAGACGACGCCAAACCGAUCACCUAUUACUGGGUGACUGGUGAUAUGGUGAAACAGUCUCCAACCAAUCAGUUCAACAUCACACAGGAAAACAGAGAGCGUUUGAUAAGCUGUCAGCUGGAAAACCCAGUCAGCCAUGAAUACAGUGAAAAAAUCCUGAAUCCACUCUUAAUCAGGAAUCGGGCUUUACUGAGCUUACCAUUUGUAGGGAUUCUGGUGUUCCUGUUUGGCCUUAAUUGUUGCAAAUGCUGGUUGUUGUACCCACAGGACCCGAAGACAUCGCUCCUCCACCACCAACACUGUGAGAUAGAGCAGUGCUGGAUCAAACUGUGAUGAUGAGGAUGAAGAAGAGUUGGUGUUGCAUAAGCCACCAGCCAAAUGUCUGCCUUAACUGAUCCUGGAAACACAGGAAGACAAUAAUAUGGAGGCUUCAGAGGACCAAAAAAAAAAGAAAAAAAGAAAAGAAAAAUAUAU
Molecule: long non-coding RNA, 1219 nt
Organism: Oreochromis niloticus (Nile tilapia)
Lineage: Eukaryota; Metazoa; Chordata; Actinopteri; Cichliformes; Cichlidae
Exons: 7
Source: RefSeq, a predicted model, not a curated record